Molecule: long non-coding RNA, 1386 nt
Organism: Quercus robur (English oak)
Lineage: Eukaryota; Viridiplantae; Streptophyta; Magnoliopsida; Fagales; Fagaceae
Exons: 4
Source: RefSeq, a predicted model, not a curated record
UCUCUUUUACUUUCCACAAACUUUUAUGCUUAGAGCUUUAACAUUAUAUGUAAUUCAUAUCUGAUUAUUUUAAGAAUUCCAUUAACUUCAAACACACAACAUGGUCAAAAUAUAAGGUAUUUUGAUAAGAAUCUACCCAAGAGUGGGUAGAUUCUAUGAGAAAUACCUAAUUUGAGGCAACUAGCCUCCAAGAAUGAGAAAUAAGAUUUAGAGAGAAUAGAGAAGAUUAGGAGAGAAACUGUUGCUUAUUUCAUUUAAUGGUCCUUACAAUCCCCACUCUAGCAAACCACUUAUAUCCAGUUUUCUUGAGUAUUCAAAGCUAUUCCAAGUAAAGCCACAUAUGUUGCAUUCUAACAACCUUUCUAACUAACUAACUGACAGCAACUAACAGAUGUUAACAGCUUCAAUGGUAAAAAACUAACAAUUCCCUAACUCUAAUGUAGCGGCUUAGGACAGGUGUAUGUUAGGCAACAUCAACAACAACAACUAUGGCAGCAAGUCAACUUCAGUAGCAACAUCAUAAGUGUCGCUUGAUGACUCUUAACAUAUUCUAUAUUGAUUUAUGAUGGCUGAACCAAUGAUCAUGGUUGGUGGCAAUAAUGCUCAACUUAAGUUGCUGCAUAACUGAUGUUGGUGCUGCUGCUGGAGGCUUAAGUAACUGCAUAAUUGCUGGUGUUGUUGUUGGAGGCAUGAUGGAUGCUUUGAUUGAUUUGAAUGAGAACCUUGAAGCCAAAUACAUCUUGGGCUAGGAAAUAGUAAAGGAGUUUCUGUUUUGGUUCACCAUGUGGAGAGAGACACCAAAGAUGCUUGGGAGGCCUAUAGAAACAUGUGUUUGACAUGCUACCUCCUAUGCUUUUCGGUGGUUUUACUUAUAAUUUUUCUUUUGAUAUGCAAACUAACUCCAAUUCAUAGGAAUUGCUUAAAAUCGUUAUUACCUUUUUGUUCUCUAGGUUGCCGGAUAACUCUUUGUUUUGGCUUUAUUUGAAGGGGAAAAAAAAAGUUAAAAUAUUUAUCUUUGAGAGUUUUCCUUUGAAUUAUUUUCUCAAUUGAUGAUAAAGAUUGGUGGGGAGAUAUUUCUAAGAAAGGGGCUCUGCCUUGGCAAAUAACAGCUGUGAUGGAAGACAUCUGAGACUUGCUGGCUUAGUGUAGACAUUUAUAUUUUGUACAUAGAAAUUUGUUGGCAAAAGAAAAGUCUUGGAUACAUUUUUUUGGGACAAUAACGGUAGUGCAUAGUAGUUUUUCUAUCUUCAAGAUUUAUAGAAAGCUUACAGAAAUGUUCAAAGGGCUUAAAAAGGUUUGUAAUAUUGUAUGCAAUAUACUUGGAUCAAUGAUGAUUUAAAUGUAAAUCUUCUUUUGAAAAUGGAUUUUUUUAUUUUGUGUUUUAAU